RNAcentral lists this long non-coding RNA (1325 nucleotides) under Elaeis guineensis (African oil palm). RNAcentral describes it as "long non-coding RNA (EGUI_LNC015467)". Lineage: Eukaryota; Viridiplantae; Streptophyta; Magnoliopsida; Arecales; Arecaceae. The record is from RNAcentral.
CAGUGAGGCCUUCAUCAGAGCCUGCAUCAAUGGAGCCUACUAUGCCACCUCACCCAAAGUCAUUUUUUGAGGUAUGCAACUUGCUGAGAUAUCUUUCUUCUGAGAUUUUUGGGGGUGGGGGUUGUUGUGGUGGGGGGGGGGGGUGAGGCUCACCUGUACUAUAAUAACCCAGGUCCAGAUUUUUGUGGAUGCAUCAACCUAGAAUCAAAUCUAGAACUUCUGGUUGCUAAGCCGGACAGUUUGACCACCAGGGCAAACCUUGAACAUAUCAUAUUUUGUUAUUCUUAUGUAGAAGCACAUCUGCAUCAUUGCUGCAUCUGCACUUUGAAGUAUCUUAGUUUAUUACAGUUUCGUCUUUUGGUCUUGAAACAGGUCAUCGAAUGUAAUAUAAUAAGAGCUUAGAGUUUGCUAAAAGGCCAUGAUCAUUGAUUUCUAUCAAGUGGAAACUACUUAGCAGCACAAAAAUAAACUAAUGGCAUUUCAUAUGAAAAUAUUGUGCUUCCUAAUCUAAUAGGUAACUAUUACUGUAAAAAUAUUAUGUUGCUAUCGUUUAUCUGAUUAUGGAUCCACUUAAAUCAAAGCUAAUGAGGAAAACCAUAAUGAACUUGAACCUGAUUAUCUUAUCCGGUUUGAGUGCUGACCUUAUUUGGAUCCAACCACAAUAAGACCUAUCAAAACUCAUAUUGAUGAGCAAGCAUGCAAUGCUGAUGCCCAAUGUAUAUUAUUGUUGAAAGCUCAUGCUUGAUGAAUAAGCCACCACCUCAAGGGUUUUGUGGACAUAACUCAAGCAGGGACUAUAAAAUCUACUGAUGUAAAGGUGAAAAUACAUAUCCAUGUGCACACUCAAUUCCAUGUGCAUUAAAAUCAUUAGCACAUGCACAACAUAUACCAAAUUUCCUAUAGCUGAUUGAUGCUCUGACUUGUUGGGUUUUAACGUCUCGAAUUUGACUUACAAUAGCAAAACUCAAAGCAGCGAAGCUCAAGAUGGAGAAGCCAACGGUGUAGGCCCACGGGAGCGCGGCCCACAGAUGCAUGGCGUGCAGGCCUGCAGGCUCCACCGUGCAGUCCAGCGCACGCAGUGCGCGGUCCAGGUGUGAGGUGCUGUCCAUUUGGCCUCACGCGGUCCACGCAUGGGUGUGCAGUCCAUUUAAGCGGUCCAUCGUGCGGAAUGUGCGAUUUGACGGCUGAGACGGCGAGUAGGUGCUGUUUUGUGCGAUCGAAUGGCCGGGGAGUGAUGCAGGCAUGAUCAGGUGGUCGGAAGGGUUCUUGAGUAUUAGAAUUCUGGAUUCGAUUUGGAUUCUAUUUGGAUCCUAUAAAAGGAGGCA